AUUCCACUUUUGAUAUUUCUCUCUGUCUUCAAAGUACCAAACUUAGAGGAUGGUGAUACAUGGAAAUACAAGUGCAACAGCUGUUAUGUUAUCAACACACUCUAACGGAAAGUCUCUAUUGCCUUCUAUGACACCGAACGCCUCCAUAUGGAAGUGGACAGGGAAAGAUUACAUGCGGAUGCGUCGUAGCUUAGGGAUCAUAACGCAUGCGACUAUAAGGGCCAAUUUUGAAUAGGGUGUUUGGCCGUGUGCGGGAAUGUUUUAGUAAGAGUCGAGACGGAUGACUUAUACUUGCGAAUGACAUUUGUUCAGGAAAAUUAUCGCCCUGAGUCUUGUUAGUCCAUACAACUUCGGGCUGAUAUAGAAAUUUCUGAUCAAAGAAUCCUGUCCACCGGAGGAAGAACCCCUUUCUUUUCCAGCAUCUCGAACGUCUCCUCCAGUUCCUCCCAUGUAUCCGCAUAACCUGUCCAUCCUAAUUUCCUCGCUUUACUCAUCGUUCCUACGCAACUCCAGUCCCGUCCCAAAGCAAAGGUCAGAAAGUCCCAGGUGGCCUUUUCCCAAGCUUUUUGAUCUAGGUUAUACUUAUCCCUCAGUUUGCCCCACGCCUCGUUGACAUCUUGUCUCUUUGCCCACUUUUCUGGAUCGACCUGGCAAAACAAUGAGGGUGAACUCUCUGCCUUGACGCCAAUGACAUGCUCAUGCUCCUUCAACGGAUGGGCGUUCUCCAUGCGCACUGUUGUGGCCUCAUAGUUCCCAAAUCCAGCCGAAUCGGUCACCCCG
RNAcentral lists this small RNA (780 nucleotides) under Cryptococcus neoformans H99. Its description in RNAcentral is "Cryptococcus neoformans var. grubii H99 hypothetical RNA". The record is from RNAcentral. Lineage: Eukaryota; Fungi; Basidiomycota; Tremellomycetes; Tremellales; Cryptococcaceae.